AUAGAAGACAGCGCGCUAGCGUAUCUAGUCUAUGUAUACCUAUGGUCUGUACGUCUGGUAGCAUCUCCGGCUGCUGUUGAUCUUGUUUUUGGAGUAAAACACGGUGGAAGCUGAAUUAGCGAGGAUGACUCCUGCUCCUGUCAUCUCUAAGCUCCUCAUACAUCUUUACCUGCACAUGAGGAAAAUCACUCCUGUAGAAUGCAGAUGUUCAGAGGGAGAUGAUGCCACAUCUGGUCCAGCUGAUGGAAGGUCUUGAAGUUCUCUGACUGGCCUCGACUGAAGAUGGUCGUCUCACUGGAUUUAAGGUUCAGAUGCUCAGUAACAAACUCCACCAAUGUGCCAACAGGGAAGCUUUAGGUUUAUUAAAUGUUGCUAUGAAGGUAUUGCUGUUUUUCUUUGUGAAUGCAAUGUGCUCCAACUGAAAGUUGAAUUAGAACUUAGAAGUAAAUCCUUCCAUCUGAAAGGAUUUAGUUGCAUUAAUAACCUCAUAACAUUCUAAUUUUUAUUCCAGUCUUAGUUGGAAAUAGAAUCUCUGUAUUGAUUCAGGUAAAAACUGAACUUCACAGCAUGAUGGAGCAAAACACCCAGAUGAAAACUGUGAUGGUGUUGGAUUGUCAGACCGUAAUGUUGCAGCUCAAAGCAGCUUUUCUAGCUCAGUUCAUUCUGACAUUCAGCUAUGAAUCAACACAGCAGAUGGUGAUCCAUGCUGUGGAAGUCUCACAUCUCCUGAUUUAAUGGAGCUGCUUUGCACUUUUUACACUGUUUAUUCACCAACACUUUAUUUAAUAAAAGUCCUAUCUAGUUUUUAUGAGGAAAGUGAUGUUUUAAUUUCUCUGUGAAUAACUGCAGUCUAAUGAACAGCUGGAGUUGUAACAUCUGUCCUGAUAUUGAUCAUGAAGUAUUGAUCAGAAUACUUAUGGUCAGCAGUCAUCCCUGAAGUUUUACAUUGAAAUCUUUACUUGUGUUGUGAACUUUGGUAAGAAGCAGAAACGUUAGCGUUGCCAUGGAUACAUGAGUGUUAAAUUCUGUCCAUGUUUCCAUUUUGGGAAAUGCAGUCCAGUUCCAGAAUGUGGAGGAAUUUAGUCUCAAUCACAGACAACAAAUAUUAUCUGAAAGUCGAGUUAUUGUUGUUUAUCAGCACAAUACAAAAAUAUUCAUGUUAGACAUAUUCCAGUUAAGACUCUAGAAUAUUAUGAUUUAUGUAAAUUUACCUCAAUAAUAUGAAUGUUCAGGUUAAGAUUGUACAGUGAUAUUUAUUAUGUAAGUUUAGCUGAUUAAACAAAUGACUCUGCACUAAAAUAUUACUUAAAUUUACAUCAUUAUUAUAGUAUUUAGGGUCAGACCCUACAGUAUUGCGAUUAAGAAAUCAAAUAUUUUAUAAAAUGUAAAUACACUGAACUCAUUUGGAUAUAUUUAAGUGAGACUCUACAAUAUUAUUUUACACAAAUCUAUCUAAAUCAAAAUUUUAAUAAUUUUCACGCCAAACAUUUACUGGACUGAUUUAAAUAUUAAAAUCACUCCUUUCUAAUCCUCUGCUGUACGUUGAAACCUGAGGCCUUAAAUAGAAACACACAAGUAUCUGAUUGAAGGAACUUCUGCAGAGUCCUGGUUCCAGAACAUGAUGAUAGAAUUAUAGACAAACUUUAACAAAAGCUGACUGAGAGUUUACAGGUUUUUGUUAGAUUUCUUCAGUAAUUUAAUGAGAGUUAUCAGCAAAAAUCAAGUGUUCAUUUGAUGAACUUCAUUUCCUAAAACAUCCAGAAUUGGAGCUCAUAUCUUUGGCAGCUGUAAAGUUUCUGCUCCUUCAAAGUUCACAACACAAUGAAUUAAUUCCUAAAACACUCUCAAUGCUGGAGAGUGUUUGUGAUGCUGAAGCAGUGACCAGUUUUUCUGUUUCUUCUCUGGAGAUGCACAAUGAGGGACGUCUGCAGAGACUGAGAAAGAGUCUCACCACAUCCUGACAUGAGGAAAAAGACUUUAUUGAAGACUACAGUGAGAAAAACUAUCAGACAGCAGACGGCUGCAUUCAAGUCUGUAGCUGCUGAAUUCAUGGAUGAAUCAUCUGGCACUAGAGAGGAAGACCAUCAAACAUCCACAUCAGCUGAUGGAGGUCCAAGAGUCUCACCAAACAACCAACCUACAGAGUGAAGACCUCGAAUCUGAUUGGACGGCCUCCUGUUCAGCCACGUGUGAACAAAUGCCUCUAAGCUGAUUUGUUUUCUAAAAUAAGUCUAGUUUGAGUCCUAAUCUAUGCCUGUGUGUUUGCUUCUUUACACUGCUGUUAACAGUUAAGGCUGUUAGAUUGUUCCAGAUAAGACGAGUACAAAAUUCUUCAGAGCUGUUCUACCACGAGCCUGACAGGAAGAACUCCAACAGCUAUGGAAUGUUCCUGUGUUCCUACAGUAGUGAAUUUUAGGUGGAAUAUACCAUUGAACUCAACUUUUAGGUCUACAUUGGAGGAUUUUAGGUGGAAUUUUCGUCCAAACCUCUUUUAGUCUACAUUUAAGGAUGUUUAGGAUGGUAUAUUCUUCCAAACCAACUUCUCAGGUCUACAUUUCAGGUGGAAUAUUCCUCCAUACUAACUUUUUUGGUCUACAUUGAAGGAUUUUUUCUAAACCACCCUUUCGGGUCUAUAUUUGGGGUUUUAGGUGGAAUAUUCCUUUUAACCAGCCCCUCAGGUCUCUUUGAGGAUUUUGGAUGGAAUACUCGGUUAAACCAACAUUUUAGGUGCAUGUCCAAGGAUUUUUGGUGGAAUGUUCCUAUAAGGUGGAUGUUUGAGGACCUUGUAGGUGGAAUACUUCCUGAAACCAACCUUUUAGGUCAACAUUCAAAGAUUUAAGGUGGAAUAUUCCUUUAAACCAACCUAAAUUUCAUGUUUUGAUCAUUAUCAAGUGAGAAACCUCAAUCCAGAUUCCUCAUAAUGACAUUUGAGAUUUAUGCUGCUGUUAUUUGUUUAGUCCAGACUAAAUGACAGAAAUCCACAACUGUAAUUUUAUUUCAGGACUCCGUUAUUAAAUGUCAAAACAAUCCAUGUGACUCUAAAAACUCAACAGCUGUACAAACUCUAAGAUUAAACUCUCCACAAGGAUUCAAAAUAAGUUGGACUUCUACAUGAGAGCUUUAAUUAUUCUUCGUCUACUUCCUGAAAAUUUUGGUCAAUAAAAAAGACAAAAACUAAUAUUUUCAGUUGAACUAAAGACAGACUUUGUGAUUUUUCUGCUUACAUGUUGUGUUGUUGUAAACUUCCUCUUUCAAAUAAAUAGCGGCCUAACCCCCUGGAAACCAGCAUUUGUCCUGUUUUUGUGUUGCUCCUCGGCGAGCCCAGACAGCCGGGUCAUAAUGUUUUUUGAGCAACACACCAUACUAUGACGUUUUUACAAUGAUGGUUCUACUAUGGAACCAGUUUGACAUGUUCAGGUGUUCUUUGUGUGAAAACUCAGAGAUUUCAGGUAUCAGAAGGUGGUUUUCAACUUUCUUUGUUAACUUUCUGCCUCAACUUUAAACUAAAUUUCCUUCACUAACCCAGUCCUCUGGACUUCCAGUAAGCUGUGUUCCUAUUGGCUGUCCAGGUGGCUGCUUGGUGUUAUCAGGAACACCUGAGCAGCUUGGUGUUAUCAGGAACACCUGAGCAGCUCAGUGUCUUCCUGCUUUAUUUAGCUGCAGCCAAACAUUUCCUCUGCUUCACUUCACCACUGAACCGGGUUUGACUCUGUUGCUUUAGUUUGUUUUUUUAGGCAUUGGCUUGCAGCUUCCAGCAGUAAAAUCGUCUUUAAUGUGUUUCUUGGUGUGUUUUAGGGCUUUGUACUGGAUAGUUGUCUUGGUAAAUGUGGUUCUUUAGCCACAGUUAGCACAUGGUGCUAAUGUGUGCAGUGAUUAGUGGAUUUGCUCCAGCUGAGUUGUGUCUUUAUCUUGGCUGCACUGAGUCUUUAGAGGUUUUUGGUCAGAUACAUUCUGUAUUCUUGUUUGAGAACCAGCGUUGGUUGUCCAGAAGGUAAGAGUUCCUGUCCUGAUUCUCUGUUCUCAGAGGUUCUCUGGUAGGCUGCAGGAGACUUUAGCGUUUGGGUUGUGCUAGUUUGGUUUUUGUACUGUUUCAUUUGGACGACUAUUUUGAGGCCCCUCCAUGUGGUUUAGUAAGGUUUUCUACAACAGUUCUACAAAGCAACCUGCAGGAGAAGAGACUUUGAGAGUUUUUAGGAAGUUCUGGAGAGCAGACUUUAGAGCAGCAGAAACAUUUGUCAGCAGUUUGAGCAGGAGAAGGUGAGCUUCAGAGUAGAAAUGAGACGGAAACCUUCUUGACCCGUGUGGUGAGGUCCUGUACCAAGAGUUUGAGCA
Amphiprion ocellaris (clown anemonefish) is the source of this 4332-nucleotide long non-coding RNA. The record is from Ensembl. Lineage: Eukaryota; Metazoa; Chordata; Actinopteri; Pomacentridae.